This 1767-nucleotide long non-coding RNA is filed under the name Brassica rapa (field mustard). RNAcentral describes it as "long non-coding RNA (BRAP_LNC007094)". The record is from RNAcentral. Lineage: Eukaryota; Viridiplantae; Streptophyta; Magnoliopsida; Brassicales; Brassicaceae.
UCAAACUCAAGAACUCUUUAUUGCCUUUAGAAAGUCUCAAAAACUAAAAGCUCUCAACACGUUAAGUUCUAUCACAUCAUGAUAGCUCCUUAUAUAACAACUCAUAGUUUCCUAAACUCAUUAGGAUAAACUUAACUAGAUAACUACAAACCAAGAUAUUCAAAUCCUAAUCUCAUUAGGAUAACAACAAGAUAACUUCAAGCUUAAGUUAGGUCAACAAGCACCCCAUUGGUCAUUUAUAAUAAAGGAUCUCAAGACUAAGAACUGAAAAAAUACAGAUAAAGCAAGAGAGAUAGAGAAUCGGUUGAGUGCAGAGAUUUCUUUUCUGACUUUUUAGAAUCAAUUUCUACAUCUGUCUUCAUCUGACUUGUAGGGCUUUAACCAAUAAGGUUGAUCUAAGAAACCGCUUCGGUCGCUUACUCUAAAGCCGCGGCAUAGGGAGGUGAAGGACGUCUAUGUCGACGUGGAUCUCUACAAGGUUCAUUUUUUCCACGGAUAUUGACGCUUGGGAUAGGAGAUCCACAAUUCCGAGAGGGCGGAGUGGAUAUCCAUAUAGGAGGAAUGCGAACUUGGAUACAUUAAAAGAUUACACACAUAAAAAUAUCAGUUUAAAAAUAUAAUAAAAUAUCACUAAACCACCCGUAGACGAUUUAGUUCGAUUUGACUUCUUGGAGUUAUGCGUUAAGAAAAAGGAUUACAAGCUUGGUUUUUUUUUGGUGAAAUACAAGCUUGGUUUUUUUCGAGACCAUUCACAUUAAUCUUUAUAAAAGUUGUAGUAUGUUGUUUAUUAAGUUUCGUUCUUAGCAGAAUUUUAAGUUUAAAGACCGCAUCACUGAUGUAGAUAUGGUUUAGAAAAAUAUAGUUUAGCAAAUUCAUUCAAAAAACAUUAUUGCUAAUUAUUUAAGGCAAAUUUUAAGAAAAUCACACAUUUUUAUAUAUUUUAUAUCAUAAUAAAUGGUUAAAAGAAUACCUUACCUUUUUCUGAACUAAAAAAUAUAAGAAAAUUAAAAAAUAAUAGACUUUGAAGUUAGAAGAAGAAGAAUAAUAUAUUCAAAAUUUAUUGUUUCCUAAUUUUCUGGAACUCUAAAAAAAUAAGACAUAAUUUAUACACAAAUUAACAGAAUACAUCAAAAAUAUUUAAAUUAGUGAAAUAUGCCAAAAGUAAACUUUGAACCCAAAAAUUAAACUUUCAGUCUUAAAAUCUAAACUCUGAACCCAAACCCCUCAAAUUUUAAAUUUUAUUUUAUCUUUAAUUCAAUGAAAAAUAUACUUAAAUGAAUGAGAAUAAAAGAGUAAUAUGAAGAGGUCAAUUGAGCUAUUGAUUAUUUUAAGUAAUUGUAUUUUCAUACAAACAAAUAAUAGGCUACUCUUCAAAAUAAAUAGUCGAAAGAUCAAUUGGUGUUUGGAACAAAAACUAAAAUUAAAAUUGUGGUAUUUUAGGAUAUUUCUAAAAAACUUCUGACCUUCAUCACGGAAAUGGAAUGGUGUAGCCUGCGUGACUCGAACAUGAAAUAGACAUAGAAGUAUAAGUAGACAUGUUUGUAUAUUCUUCAUCGCCAUUGCUCCUCUUCUAUAUCACAUGUUAGACUAAUUUUGAGUUGUAUAAAUAGAACAACUGAAAUUGCCAGAGAAAAGAAAAAUCAAUCACAUAUUUAUUCAAUAAUUAAUAUUCAAACUUAGUUAUUAGUAUUACCAUUGAAUAUGUGUUUGAUUUUUCUCACCCACUUUUUAUUGAGGAGACUAUUAUUUAUUGAGAAGACAGAGGCA